GAAUAUUGGACAAUGGGGGGAACCCUGAUCCAGCCAUGCCGCGUGUGUGAAGACGUCCUUUUGGUUGUAAAGCACUUUAAGCGAGGACGAGGCUACUCUAGUUAAUACCUAGAGAUCGUUGACGUUACUCGCAGAAUAAGCACCGGCUAACCCUGUUCCAGCAGCCGCGGUAAUACAGAGGGUGCAAGCGUUAAUCGGAUUUACUGGGCGUAAAGCGCGCGGAGGUGGCAAAUUAAGUCAAAUGUGAAAUCCCCGAGCUUAACUUGGGAAUUGCAUUCGAUACUGGUUGGCUAGAGUAUGGGAGAGGAUGGUAGAAUUCCAGGUGUAGCGGUGAAAUGCGUAGAGAUCUGGAGGAAUACCGAUGGCGAAGGCAGCCAUCUGGCCUAAUACUGACACUGAGGUGCGAAAGCAUGGGGAGCAAACA
Molecule: ribosomal RNA, 424 nt
Filed under: uncultured bacterium
Lineage: Bacteria
Description: bacterial SSU rRNA
Rfam family: Bacterial small subunit ribosomal RNA
Source: RNAcentral